UUAGAGAGGAAGAGUAAGCUUCUAUUAGACUUUGUCAAAAUUCUUGCUUCUAUUUUGAGUUACUGCACAAAUGAUUUACUGCAUACAAGAUUAGUCCACCUUUGUAUGGGUUAAGGUGGCAUUCUCAUUUUUAAAUCCCAGUUGUUUUUUUUUGUGGUUUAUUGGAUGAAUGUUAGUUUCUUUGACACACUUUUCGUUUUUCUUUGCUUUAUUUUCAUUUACUCCGUUGCAUUAUUGCACGUUGUUCUUUUGUAAUCUGAAUAUCAGUUUCUUAUUUCUUUGGUUUGUUUUCGUGUUGCUUUUUGCUUUGAUCGAUAUUUGCAAAACCAGCCAGGCUGACCCGGAUCCGGCUAGGCGAGCCCCAUUUUGGCCGGUUAUGGGGUCUAGUGAUAAUCAAUUAUGGUUUGUUGAUAUUUGAAAGAAAAAACAAUCAAGUAAUUAUUUAUCGAGUGCCAUUUGAGAAGUCUAGAAACUGUUUGGCCUUGACUAUUUUUUUUUUUUGCAUAGAUUUGAGAUUUUUUUGAACUAUAGGAAUUUUUAAUAUUUUAUUAUUUUUAUAAGGCCUAGGCUCUAUGAAAACCAAAUGAAGCCACACUAUUAUAAAGCAACAUGAAAACGAAAGAAAAAUAGUGCAUUUAGCAUAAGGAAGUUGAGUAGCUUAUCUCUGUAAUUUUAGAAACUGAAUAAACUAAUAGAAAGUUAUAUUUGCAAUGGUUUAGCAUAAGCCAACGGUUUAGCAAAAGACACAAGUCCCAACAACCUACAUGGAUGAGAAAGAUAAUCAGCAUACCCAAUUGGGUUAUUUGAUAGCAACAGCGUUAUGCAUGCUGCAUAAAUCACCUCAAUACUAUUAGACUCAACACACUACUACGGGUUUUGUGGCAAUUUAAAGGCCUCAUUGAAGUAUGUAAAACUAUAACUAUUGUGAUAUUGUAUUUCACUGGGAGUGUGGUCCAAGGGGACCAAAGAGGUAUGCUUCGUAAUGCCCAUGACUCACCCGGGGGUUACGGUCUAGGCUCAAGAUGGAGUCUAAACCCUCUAGCCUUGGGCAUAAGGCAGAAUUGUGGAGGGUUUGUAGAGUUAUCCAGCUCGGUAUGAAGCCUUAAAACCCUAUAGCUCUGGGCAUACAAGAGAAUUGUGGAGGGUUUGUAGGAUUAUCCCUUAAUGAGGUGGAGAGAUGCUUAGGAUGGUUAGUUGGCUAGGAGACUAUUAGGCUUCCUGUGUGGUUGGUGAGCUUUAAGCUAAUUCCUCAUCAUUGCCAUCACUACAUAUGAUAGCCGUUGUUGGGAAGUGACAUGUAGGGGUAUGAUGUGUAUGUGCUGAAAAGAGGACCCCAAUGCACCAUUGCGAUAGUGUGCAAUGGAAGAUGUUAAGAAUACAUCCCUCAGACACAAUCGCUUUUUCUGCUCUAAGAUGGAAUUAUAUUAGUAAAUUUGCAUUUAUUAUUCUUCUGAUUCAUUAAGGUAGCUUUGAAUUGGUUAGUUACGCUUUUUAUCUACUUUUUUUUAGUGUGUUAUUUGUGAAAUGAGAAUAUAAGGGAAAGGUUCAAUCAGAUGGCUAUGCCUAACAGUGGUGAAAUUCAUCCAUUCCGACAUUAGCGUUAACAAAACUCCUCCUUCUAUGCAUUUUAUAAAAGAAAUAGAAAAAGAUAAAGAAAUAACUCUUUAUCUUUUUCUAUUCUACAGUGGAAGACUAAUUGUAUUGCCGAUUACUGCGUUACUGUGACCAAAAGAUUUAUCUGGCCCAUUAGAGUAAGGGAGUAUGCCAAUAGUUGAGCAUUAGCUUUAAAGGCUGUCGAUAUGCUGCAUUGAAAGUAGGCUGGUUGAUAGAACUGAGAACUCUUUCGUGAGUAGCUCUUUAGAGGUCUCAAGGUGUGAGCCGUGAGUUCUCACUGUGGUUCCGAGUUCUGAGUUGAGCUGUUGGAUCACACCCCUCUGUAUGAACAAAAUCUAUUGGUGGAUGUGGACCAAAACCACUUGACCCCAAACCCUGGAACAACGGCUCUUGAGAGCCCCCUAUUAGUCUUUGUUGAGCAUAGGGCCUUACAAGAAAUGAAAGACCUUUUUAAACAAUAAUUAUUAUGCACAUAAUCAGGUAUUUUAUUUACACAUCCUUACAGGGAACCGUCGUGUUUCAACUUUGAAUAUUCAAAUAGAAAAUAGAAAUCAUGAUAUGACAUGAAUAUAUUGGAGCUGCGAUAAAAAAUAGAAUAUGUGGUUAGCUACAUGGCUAUAUCUGCAUUGCAUUUACUUAGAUAUUUAAUCUAAUAAAUAUAGCUCUUUCAAAUAAGUCAAAAUAGAAAACAAAAAAAUAUCAAAAUUUCUUUAUGUGAAAUGAAAUAAGUGCUAAGCUAAGUGUUCACUCUUUUUAAUGCUCCUGAUUUUUGGGGUUGACCGCCCAUAUAGGACCGGUCACGUUUGAUCGGAUGGAUCCCAGCCCCCUCUUUGAUUUGAGGUUCCGAUAUGUCUGCCUCAGCAUUUGGCAUGACUAUGCCAAUCGUUAAGGUAGCUUUGCAUUUGUUAGUUAUGCCUUUUUUUUAGGUGUUAUUUGUGAAAUGAGAAUAUUAGGGGAUCUUGACCAAGAACUUAUGUAAGUUAUUUUAUUAGUGAAAACUUGCGUCCAUUUUAUUUAAUUUUACUCCAUUUUUGUGUUGGAAUUGCUGAGAAAAUGUGAAAUUCGCAUUAUAUAAGAGCUCUAGUGCUGUAAUACUAUGCUUUUUCAUCAUAUUUUCAAUCUCUUGCUUUCUAAAGGGUUCUCUAUUGAAUUUUUUUAUUAUACUUUCUGCUGAUAGAUUCCAAUUUAAAGAGUGGCUUCUAUAGAUGUGAAGGAAAAUAAUUUAUGUUAGAGUUUGAAAAGGUGAUAUAUGAUGAUUUAGUCAGUGAAUCAUAUAAAACAAUUAUAGUAUCAAAUAUUUACUGUAUAAGCUCAGAAUAUGUAUGUUAUUGUGUCGAGAAUAAAAUGAUCAUCAGGCUCUAGAGCAUAAAUGUCGGUGGCAAUUAUUGGCUUUUUCUAUAAUUGUAAAUCUGUAUUUUCUCUGGCAAAUAUUGUGCAAGGUUAUUUAAACUGCAUAAU
RNAcentral lists this long non-coding RNA (3072 nucleotides) under Amborella trichopoda. RNAcentral's name for it is "long non-coding RNA (ATRI_LNC005021)". Lineage: Eukaryota; Viridiplantae; Streptophyta; Magnoliopsida; Amborellales; Amborellaceae. The record is from RNAcentral.